Molecule: non-coding RNA, 103 nt
Organism: Acanthosepion pharaonis
Lineage: Eukaryota; Metazoa; Mollusca; Cephalopoda; Sepiida; Sepiidae
Source: the annotation of a GenBank genome assembly
UCACAUUGAAAUGCUGGUUCUCAUAAGAUCACCAAAGUUAAGCAACCUUGAGCCUAAUCAGUAUCUAGAGGAGUGACUGCUUGGGAAUACCAGGUGCUGUAAG